Molecule: long non-coding RNA, 2023 nt
Organism: Antechinus flavipes (yellow-footed antechinus)
Lineage: Eukaryota; Metazoa; Chordata; Mammalia; Dasyuromorphia; Dasyuridae
Exons: 2
Source: RefSeq, a predicted model, not a curated record
AGAUCCUAACAAAGUACCUGGAUUAGAGAUAUUAAAGGACAUGAACAGCCUGAGAAUAUUGACACAUAAUCUGGAUUCGGAUGGAAUCUGAAUUUUUUAACAGAACUGUUAUCUUAGUUGCCACGAUGGUAUCAAAUUAUCCUGAAUUAAAUGGUCAAGCUGAAAAGAGAUAUAAACCAAAGAUAUCCUGAAGCAGACUUUUGAAUGAAAUUGGCUAUCAAGUUCUGUACUUUUCCCGUCAUUCAAUAUAUUGUCCUAUAUUCAACAAUUGGAGAUGUUCCACUGAAUAAUAAUUUAAAAUAUGUCUCAACAGUUUCCAUACAGAUAUAUAUGAGAAUUUACAAUACAAUAAGAACAUACAUUGCCUUGGAGGCUGCUAUCAAAUCAGGCUACACUUACUUGGGUGUAGGAACAUAAAGCCCAAUUAAGGGUGGGGAUUGUCUUUUGUUUGUAUUCAUUGCUAUUGAGUGAUUGACAUGUUAAUCUAUAUUCUAUUCUUUGCUAAUUUUUGCCAUAAGGUUUACUCUUGACUAGAAAUUAUCGAGGUGGACCGAAGUAUAUUACUAAUACUAUUAUAAAGAGAAUGAUAAGAAAUGGGUAGAUUUUAGUAGUCAAUUUUUUCAGGACAUCCUUGGCCCAGAUUUCUUUUCAAGCCUGACCAAUUAUGUGCAGAAGAGGUAAUAGAGGUAAUAAUCUUCUAUUAAAUGUUCUUUUUGUCUGUAAAGAUAAUUUUUUGUCGGCAAAACAAUUACCAGUGACAUGUUUCUCAAUAUUUCAAACAAACAACUGAGAGUUCUUUCUUAUAACUAAAUCAUCCUACCUAAACUUGUCCAAAGCAUACUUACUACAGCUUUCCAAUCAACAGAGAUAGAAUUCUCAGUUCUCCUCAUCUAUACUUCAUCUUUUUUUCUGGUCCCAUAAAUACAGGUAGAACCUUAAAGAGUCCCAGUGAAGAAAGAGUCUUUGUUCUUUUCACCAUUAAAAAAGUUAAGAACAAGAUUCAUUUUCUUUGAUGUUUUAGCAUCCCUUCUUGUAGUGACCCCUUUCUGAAUAGCCAUGAAUUUUUUACAAACAUCCUUUAAUCCAUUUAUUGUUCCAUCAAUCAACUGAAAUAAAUUUUGUUUGUGAAAUGGCAAACAUCCAGGAAGUUGUUCAAUAUGAGAUGGAAAAGUACAAUUACUUAUGUAGAUUAUAAAUUCUUACCAGCAGGCACAAUAAGGUUUUAUGGGAGAAACAUUAUAAGGUUUUAUAGAAAAGACAUUACAAAGUAAUUUAACAAAUCUUAAUUACUAUUGAAAUCACUUUUUAAAAACCCACCAAAAACUGAUUUGAAUAAAGGGAAUAAAAGCAUUUAUCAAGUGAUAUUAGAUUCUUAUCAUUUGGUUAAGUAGAUUUUUUAUUUAUUUUAAUAAACUAGUUUGCAGAAUUAACAGAAAAAGGAGAUGAAACUUUUAUUGUCCUUUAUUAAGCAUAUAUUUUGUGAUGCAGAUUUUAGACAAAGCAUGAUCUCAAUCCUCACAAUAGAGAUAAAGACUAGGAGUAGGUGACUCCCUGGUGAGGAAACUCCCAUUACAAAAUCAGUUCAUCACCUUUUCUACAACUUAAAGAACUGUCUAUCUUUUCAACAAUGAGAUGAUUGAAGCCAGUUCCAAUGAUCUUGGGAUGAGGAGGCAUCUAUACCCAGAGAGAGGACUGUGGGAACUGAGUAUGGAUCACAUCAUAACAUUUUCAUUCUUUUUGUUGUUGUUUGCUUGUAUUUUGUUUAUAUACAUAUAUGUAUAUUAUAUGUGUUAUACAAUAUACAUAUAUGUAUAUAAACAAAAUAUAAUAUACAUAUAUAUUUAGCACAUUUAACAUAUAUUGGAUUGCUUGCCAUCUAGGGGAGGAGAUGGGGAAAGGAGGGAUUUGAAACACAAGGUUUUGCAAAAGUCAAUGUUGAAAAAUUAUCCACGCAUAUGUUUUGUAAAUAAAAAGCUUUAAUAAUUGCCUAUAUCACUGAGAAAUUAAAUGACUUGCCCAGAGA